AGCCUCUAGUAGAGUAAGUUGUGAGGAUUGGAGGUAGUACCUGCUCCAUGAGUAGUUUCUUAAAUAGCGGCCUUCAAGGGUCUAAAGGUAGCAUAUAAUGUCUUGAUUAAUUGUCGAGUGGUAUGAAGGGAUAACAACGAGAGAAAUACUGUCUUAAUUUGAUUUUGCUGAACUAAACUUUAAGGUGCAAAGGCCUUAAUAUCAUAGUUAGACGAGAAGACCCCGUGAAGGAUUUUAACCGGGCCUUUCUUUUUCGGAGUGAACAAUUUUGUUACACUUAUUGGCGGGGUACGGUUUCGGCUGGGAUGGCCCAGGAGACCAACCUCCUGAGAAGUGUAUUAGACCGGCGGGUGUUGAACCAUUGAAAUAGGGUGGUUGCUGGAAUAACCUACUCCGGGGAUAACAGCGUAAUCUUUUUGGAGAGCUCGUAUUGAUAAAAGGGUUUGCGACCUCGAUGUUGAAUAUGGUUAUCCUAAAGCUUGUAGCAGGUUUUAAGGGUGGGACUGUUCGUCCCUGAAAUAACC
RNAcentral lists this ribosomal RNA (524 nucleotides) under Striarca lactea. Its description in RNAcentral is "partial 16S ribosomal RNA". It matches the Rfam family "Bacterial large subunit ribosomal RNA", at positions 1817 to 2596 of the family's 2925-position model. The record is from RNAcentral. Lineage: Eukaryota; Metazoa; Mollusca; Bivalvia; Arcoida; Noetiidae.